GUGGUGAUCUCUUAAGUAACCUCUUGGCCUUUUCUUGUGAGAGUUGGGAAUAGCCUAUCUCUGAUUCAUUCUGUCAGAUCUUUCUCGGAUUCGUCGCUUUGUCUGCCCCUCAGUUAGACUUUCAAACUUGACUGCUUCCUUCUACAAACUAACCUUACCUACAUUGCUUGGGAUUAAAGAUGUAUACUAAAGACAUUUCUAUAUUCCAGCCAGAGGGAUUAAAGGUGUGUGUUAAGGAUGAACCACACUACAACUAGAAACAGGUGUUUUUAAGUAAAUAACACAAUCUCGGGGUUCACAGUGUGAUCAAAUAUCCUGCAACAGCACUCCUCAGCACCUAACAGUGUCUCCACCACACAACUGGCUCCCUUUUGGGAUACAGUGUUGUAAAGGCAGGGCCCUGUCUAUCUCCAUCUCCCACCCUAAAGGAGCAAGUGCCAUAGGACAAGCUCUACCACACGUGAUAAAUUCCUUGGGCACAUCUUUGCCAUUAGAGUUUUCCCAUUCCUCCCAUCUCUGGUUGCUCACUGUCCUUUCUGUUGUCUCAGUCUUUUGCAUUGUUUUGAGAUGGCCAGGAACGAUGUGUGGGUCCUCUGGAAGAGCAGUGUCCUUGCAGAAGCAUUCACUGGCCCUGACACCAGCUUCUGUGCAGCCCUGGGCCUGAAAGCUCUUCAAGCUUCACACUCUGCUUUUUGUCCUCAUUCCCUGUCAGGAACCUUGCCUCAGGAAUGUCACUUGUAUGAAAGUACAAUUAUUUUUGCUUCUAUUUGCUUUUUUUGUUGUAUUUCCUAUCUUUAUCCAUUAUGAUCACAGGCAGUUUUGUCUUUAAUUUUGCUUUCUGUACACACUGUGCACAUCUCACUUUGCCAUUUCAUGCACAAGUCUGUCCUGUUGUGGUAAAAUAACACAUGCUUUCAGUUUCUGUGGUCCUGCAGGCUCCUUUCCAUCUUACAGAUCUGUUUGUUGUCCCUGAUCCCGAGAGUCUAAAGUUUCAUAGCAGAGUCACUUUGAAAAAUCUUAAGAAUUUCCUUGUUCGAUGGGCGGUAGUGGUGCACGCCUUUAAUCCCAGCACUUGGGAGGCAGAGGCAGAGGCAGGUGGAUUUCUGAGUUCCAGGCAGGCCUAGUGUACAAAGUGAGUUCCAGGACAGCCAGGGCUAUACAGAGAAACCCUGUCUCGAGAAACCAAAAAAAAAAAAAAAAAAAAGAAAAGAAAAGAAAAAAGAAUUUCCUUGUUCUGUGGUGUUUUCCUUACAGGUUGUGUUCUGUCCUCCACUGUGCCUGCAAAUCCUCCCUUCCCCUCCCACUCUCCUUCCCUGCUCACCUUCCUUCCUUCCCUCUGUGUUUGGUGAGUAGUAGCUGACUGACGUGGGGUUUGUCUCUAGCUGUUAUGUUCAUCAGCCACAUAGCCAUGUCAUUCCCUGUUAUCUGAGUCACACUGAAUCCGCACACUGCCUGUUAUAGAAGGUGGGUAGCUCAUUUGUGGAUUCCAUUAGUAUUUACUGAGUAAUUGUUCCAUGCCAGGUGCACAGCAGAGAAGAAUUCCUUCCUGGGAGCACUGUGGUGGGAGGAGGAGGAGGAGGUAACAAACAAAACAAUGGAGGGCCAAAGGGAAGAAGAAAGGACAGGGUGCAGACAGAGCUGAUGCUCAGCUGCCAUUUUAGACAGCAUUCAGAAAAGACCUCAUUGAUGGUGCCAGAAAAAAACUGAAAGAGAAGCCUGCAGAGCCUGAGGAGAGUCCUGGGUGGCUGUAUGCUUUGGUGGAGCGUGAGAAAGGCACAGAAGAACCAGGUGUAUGGGUGCUUGGAUAUACUUUUACAUUUUAUAUUGAUUAUUAUGUGUGGCAUGUGUGCAGAGGUCAGAGGGCAAGUCAGCUUUAUGGAGAUGGUUCUUUCUGUAUACCUUGAUGUAGGGUCUCAGGAUUGAACUUGGACUAUCAGGGUUACACAAUAGUCACCUUUACCCACUGAGCCAUCUUGCUGGCUCCCUUGUAUAUAUUUUAACUUUUACUUAAAUGGUGAUGGGAAGUCACAGGAAGGUAGAUGAGGGACAGGCUUUGACCUUUUCACAUAUCACUUGAGCUAUUACAUUGAACAUACAGUACAGAAGGCGUGGGCACAAACAGGGACUCCAGGAGGAUGCCAUGGUAAGAGUCUAGGCAGGAGAGGAUGACAAAGUAGAUAGAAGCUGUGGACACGAUUCAGAACAGCAGACAGGUUCUGGUUACCCUCUGAAGGUAGGGGAACAGUGUGGGUGUCCGAAGCUGUGGAAGACUGAGAUUGCCACUUGCAAGGAAAGACUUGAUAACAAGCCCGGGGGGCAUGGUUUGUGGCUGGUGUCUCAGCUGCAUGGGAAGCUUCUGAGAUGUGGCUUCACAACUGUGCUCACAGACACAUGAACUUUAGAUCAGACAGAGUACUUGAGCGGUAGUCAGAGCUGAAGAUGCAGACUUUAAUAGCAUUUGUAUACCUGAGAGAUGCAAAGCAGAGAGACUGAAUGUAUGCCCUCUGAGUGGAGAAGAGGAGACAGAAGGCUCUGUUUUGACACAUAUAAAGGAGGCAGUGAGUGCAGAGGAGUACAGAGAGGUGGAGUGCUGAGGAGCACAGUAUGCUGAAAGAAGAGGCAUUGCCGUGUGUGUGUGUGUGUGUGUGUGUGUGUGUGUGUGUGUGAGAGAGAGAGAGAGAGAGAGAGAGAGAGAGAGAGAGAGAGAGAGAGAUUAAGCGGACAAUGGCUAACUGGUUCAACUCAGGUGUUCUGGGCCAAACUUUUCCCUAAGCUGACUGAUUCAAACUGACAGAAGCUUCUCUCUGCUUCUGACUGAAUGGCUCGGCAUGGCUUCUAACUAACUCUGGCAAUCUGUUCUAAUCUUUUGGCUCCUUGUCAUUCUCUGGCUAGUUCUGUCUUCACCUGUGUCUAGCUUGUUCUCUCUGUAACCUGUCUCUGUAAUACUGUCCUGGUAAGACUGCCAUGUACACACACACCCCACCCCUAUGUCUGGCUGCUCUCUGUAAAACUGUCCUCACCUCUUUCUCUCUUCUUCUGCCCCUGGGCUGCUCCUAAGUAGCCUCUCUUUCCUGUCUGUUCUUAUGAGAGUUGGGUGUAUCAUAUCUCUGCUUCGUCACUUGUUUAAAGGGAAUGAAAGGAAAAUGGAAUCAUGAUCAAGAGAAUAGUUUUCAGGUAAAGUGUUGCUGGCACACUGAGGGGACAGUGUGCUGAAGAAGCUAAGGAAGAGAGGCAAGGCUGACACUGGGCAGUCAGCACAGAACAUCCUGUAUCCAGACACAGAUGAGACAAGCUGUAUCCAUCAGCAGACAGGCAAGAGUACUUAGAUAGGGUACCAAUGCAGAAAUUGAUGGAGAGGUAGACACUUGCACAGACCUCUUUUGAUGGCUUUUGUUUCCUUGCUGAAAAUGAAACAAACUCAUCCAUCCAUCCACUGAGGUCAGUAUGUGGAAGGUCAGGAAAUCAUUACCUAAGAGAGUGGGAGAGCCUAGCCUAGGUACGCCCCAGGGCUGCCCAGGCCCAGGCCACCCAUAGCUCUCAGUAACCCUCCUUCAUUUUCUCAACAGUUUUUUACAUUUUGGAAGCACAAGGCGCUGCCAGUUCAUCUAUGAUCUGUGCUGCAGUCCUGUAUCAACAUUGCUUCCCCUUUAGUGGGAAGUGAAUGGGGAAACUGAGGUCUACACAUGGGGGAAGGGGUGCAUGCCUUUAAUCCCAGCACUUGGGAGGCAGACGCAGGCCAAUCCCCAUGAGUUCAAGGCCAGCCUGGACUAUAGAACAAGUUCCAAGACAGCCAGGACUACACAGAGAAACCUUGUCUCAAAAAACCAAAAAUAAACAAGUAGAGCUAAGGUCUGUUACUGAUUGUAAGAGUCAGAGUCAGAGCCAUACAAAAGCUGUGGUAGGAGAAGUAUCUUUCCUCCCUGAGGAACUACCUCUCCCCUGAGUCUGGUCCUCCCCUGCCCCUCAAGUCCUUACCUGUUCAGUUUCCUGUUCAGUCUUCCUCACUCUUGGCUCAGAGCAGUAGGAAC
This 4028-nucleotide long non-coding RNA is filed under the name Mus caroli (Ryukyu mouse). RNAcentral describes it as "predicted gene 42531 (MGP_CAROLIEiJ_G0034592.1)". Lineage: Eukaryota; Metazoa; Chordata; Mammalia; Rodentia; Muridae. The record is from RNAcentral.